GAUGGAAGAACGCAGCGAAAUGCGAUAAGUAGUGUGAAUUGCAGAAUUCAGUGAAUCAUCGAAUCUUUGAACGCACAUUGCGCCUCCUGGUAUUCCGGGAGGCAUGCCUGUUCGAGCGUCAUUAAAAUCACUCAAGCUUAGGUUUACCUAUUGCUUGGUCUUGGAGAUGGAAGCCAAUUUAUUGGAAUCCUCUUCGAAAUUCAAUGGCGAAGACCCUUGCUCUCCCAAGUGUAGUAAUAACUUAUGUCACUGAAGGAAGCGAGAAAUCUUCUGCCGUAACCCCCAUAUUUUCUAUGAUUGACCUCGGAUCAGGUAGGGAUACCCGCUGAACUUAAGCAUAUCAAUAAGCGGAGGA
Molecule: unclassified non-coding RNA, 355 nt
Filed under: soil metagenome
Description: partial contains 5.8S ribosomal RNA, internal transcribed spacer 2, and large subunit ribosomal RNA
Rfam family: 5.8S ribosomal RNA (bases 5-121)
Source: RNAcentral